AGGGGCCGUAGGGAAGCCGCUCAAGGUCACUUUGUAACAACUUUAUUGGCAACUGGUUGGGAAGGACAAAGACACUUGCGUACGGGUGGGCUGGCGGGCAGGGGCUGGUAGAGGAGAAACAGAAAGAAGAAAUGGACAACUGGCCCUGGCUGAGAGAAUUGAACAGGUUGUUUCCCUUUUGAUCUGAGCCUGCCGGAGGAUCAAUUGACACCCUGUGAGGAAAACAAACCUCCAAACCUGUGCUAAUUCUGUAGGAUUAUUCAGUCAAGCCGCUGGUAGAUUAUCUGGACAAACAGCAUUACCCUUGAGAUCUACUAAUUCCUUGCCACGCUACAGUUCUCCUGCCUCAGAGUUUUUAUUUAAUUUGGACCCCUGCCUUGCCAGAGUAUCCACCCUUGGCCUACUGGUCCCAUGCUUCAACAUCCAAUCAACUUUCUCUUAAGGACAAAUAGGAAAAAUACCCCCACUAGAACUACCUUUUAACAAUUAUCAAAGGGGUUGCUAUGUUUGGAGGAGCACUUCCUUGAUGUAUGAAGUAAAAUGACCCUAUCUGUGGGGGGAAAGACUAAGAUCUGGAAAGAAAAGAAGCCAAGACUGAAGCUUAAAUUUUUGGAUAUCAGAUCUCAUCCUGGCUGGGAAGAAGGCGAAGUUUCAGUAUCUGAAAGACACAGAGGUGUGAGGUACCAGUAGAAGAGCUUUUGGGGAUACUACAUGAAAAGAUGUCGCGUUCAUUGAGAUUGAAAGAGUACAUUGAAAUCUGAAAUCCGGAGCAAACUUAAUAUGGCGACGUGAGGGAGGGUCAUCUUGAAAGUGACUCACAGAGCAUACAGGGCUUUGCCUAAAACCACAGAUUACAUAACCUUCAUCUUAUCUAAGGGCUUAAAAUGAAGUGAUGGACCAAUCAAAGAAUUAUUUCACUGAAGAUCUAUACAAGUGUU
Long non-coding RNA from Hyaena hyaena (striped hyena), 938 nucleotides. RefSeq lists it as uncharacterized. The transcript has 5 exons. The record is from RefSeq and is a predicted model, not a curated record. Lineage: Eukaryota; Metazoa; Chordata; Mammalia; Carnivora; Hyaenidae.